UUGCUUAUAUUCAAGAUUAUAUUGUUCUUAGUUUAUCAUAGUUAUGUACUUGGCUUAGUUAGAUUCGAUCUAUAUACAUGCUUAGGAUCGUAUAGCGUUUAUCCAUCGGAUCGAUGGGUAAAUGAUAGAUAUUGUGUAGGUGUGGUGCUUAUACCGUAUUUAACUGCGAUUGUACCCAAUAUGCCAGAUCGUGGGGUAGUUCGUGAUAGUGACAGCUUCAUUGAUUCUUAUAUAGUCCCCCUCUCGUGUAUUGGGCU
Molecule: long non-coding RNA, 257 nt
Filed under: Sorghum bicolor (sorghum)
Lineage: Eukaryota; Viridiplantae; Streptophyta; Magnoliopsida; Poales; Poaceae
Description: long non-coding RNA (SBIC_LNC010481)
Source: RNAcentral